GAACGGGUGAGUAACACGUGAGUAACCUGCCCCAGACUCUGGGAUAAGCCUUGGAAACGAGGUCUAAUACCGGAUACGCAACUCCAUCGCAUGGUGAGGGUUGGGAAAGUUUUUCGGUCUGGGAUGGACUCGCGGCCUAUCAGCUUGUUGGUGAGGUAAUGGCUCACCAAGGCGACGACGGGUAGCCGGCCUGAGAGGGCGACCGGCCACACUGGAACUGAGACACGGUCCAGACUCCUACGGGAGGCAGCAGUGGGGAAUAUUGCACAAUGGGCGCAAGCCUGAUGCAGCGACGCCGCGUGGGGGAUGAAGGCCUUCGGGUUGUAAACCCCUUUCAGCAGGGAAGAAGCGAAAGUGACGUUACCUGCAGAAGAAGCGCCGGCUAACUACGUGCCAGCAGCCGCGGUAAUACGUAGGGCGCAAGCGUUGUCCGGAAUUAUUGGGCGUAAAGAGCUCGUAGGCGGUUCGUCGCGUCUGCUGUGAAAGCCCGAGGCUCAACCUCGGGUCUGCAGUGGGUACGGGCGGACUAGAGUGUGGUAGGGGAGACUGGAAUUCCUGGUGUAGCGGUGGAAUGCGCAGAUAUCAGGAGGAACACCAAUGGCGAAGGCAGGUCUCUGGGCCACAACUGACGCUGAGGAGCGAAAGCGUGGGGAGCGAACAGGAUUAGAUACCCUGGUAGUCCACGCCGUAAACGGUGGGCACUAGAUGUGGGGCUCUUUCCAUGAGUUCCGCGUCGCAGCUAACGCAUUAAGUGCCCCGCCUGGGGAGUACGGCCGCAAGGCUAAAACUCAAAGGAAUUGACGGGGGCCCGCACAAGCGGCGGAGCAUGCGGAUUAAUUCGAUGCAACGCGAAGAACCUUACCAAGGCUUGACAUAUACCUUCUAUCCUCAGAGAAUGGGGAGUGCUUUUAGCGGGGUAUACAGGUGGUGGC
Molecule: ribosomal RNA, 932 nt
Filed under: Demequina sp.
Lineage: Bacteria; Bacillati; Actinomycetota; Actinomycetes; Micrococcales; Demequinaceae
Description: bacterial SSU rRNA
Rfam family: Bacterial small subunit ribosomal RNA
Source: RNAcentral